This 397-nucleotide ribosomal RNA is filed under the name uncultured bacterium. RNAcentral's name for it is "partial 16S ribosomal RNA". It matches the Rfam family "Bacterial small subunit ribosomal RNA", at positions 523 to 918 of the family's 1533-position model. The record is from RNAcentral.
AUACGUAGGUGGCAAGCGUUGUCCGGAUUUACUGGGUGUAAAGGGCGUGCAGCCGGGAUGGCAAGUCAGAUGUGAAAUCCAUGGGCUUAACCCAUGAACUGCAUUUGAAACUGUCGUUCUUGAGCACCGGAGGGGCAAUCGGAAUUCCUAGUGUAGCGGUGAAAUGCGUAGAUAUUAGGAGGAACACCAGUGGCGAAGGCGGAUUGCUGGACGGCAACUGACGGUGAGGCGCGAAAGUGUGGGGAGCAAACAGGAUUAGAUACCCUGGUAGUCCACACUGUAAACGAUGAAUGCUAGGUGUAGGGGGUAUCGACCCCUUCUGUGCCGCAGUCAACACAAUAAGCAUUCCGCCUGGGGAGUACGGCCGCAAGGUUGAAACUCAAAUGAAUUGACGGGG